GUCUUGAAGUGUUUGUUUUUCUUCUCCACCAAUGGUAUUGCUUGCAUUUUCUAAAUCAACCUAUAUCUAUGUCAGCAUAUUUUCAGAUGCAUGUAUCAACUCUAGACUUUAUGACAAGAUGAGCAUGACAGGGGUAUGAUGAUGAACCUGCGACCAUGGAAUAUGACAAGGGCUUCAGGAUAAUAACCAAAGUCGGCCUGAGCCUCCCCCCGGACCGAUACAACAUAGUAUAUGCAAAUUGGUGCUGAACUGGCAAUGGAGAUUCAAGACAUAGCCGACCCUAGGUCACCAAGUUCCGUGUCCUCCAAAACAACAAAUUUUGGGUUCUUGCUCAAGUGAGCAAAAAUAACUAAUUAGAUACUUUGUUGUUUUUCACGUCCAAUUCGGAUCUACCUUUGCCCUGCAUGUGUUGUCUACUCCAAAAAAUAUAUUUUUGCUACUUAUUUCCGAUGCUUGGUGCGGCUACUUAUCUUUCCUUACUUAUUUUAGUCCUAUGACUAAUUUUCAUGCAGUCCUCCAAAUACCCGAGUUGAUUCAUCUGCCACUUGAGCAGAAUUUAUCUGUGACCUUAUGAGGGGAAUAUCUGUUGGGUUUGCCUUUUUCUGGAUGUUCUCAUUGCCCUGAAUUUAAUGGUAAUCUUCAAAUUGUUUUAUACUGAUCCAUGUUGUGCUUUCUUAAGCCCAAUCAACUCCUAAAUCAAACACCUGUGUUGGCUCAAACUGUACAGGAUGAUAUCAUACAUCUUCUAUUCUAACAAUAAAUUUGGAGCUGCUAUGGUAAUUGUGAAAAUUGAUGUUGGUGGUAAUAUCACGAGAUAACAAGUAUUCUUCUGACCCGUCAAAGUAUGUGGACUUGUACACCAUGGUCCAAGACGUUCAAAAUAAAACUGCAAAAGGUUCAUCGAGCUGCACAAAUGGACUUCUAUGGCUCACUAGGUGCUUCACUUUCUCCUGCAUAAUUUGUCACGUUCAAUUCCAGCUUAAU
Molecule: long non-coding RNA, 984 nt
Organism: Lolium rigidum
Lineage: Eukaryota; Viridiplantae; Streptophyta; Magnoliopsida; Poales; Poaceae
Exons: 4
Source: RefSeq, a predicted model, not a curated record